GUGUGUUGACUUUGAAUUGUAACUGUGCUAUAGUCUUGCUGCUUCCUGUAGCUCUGCAUGGCUUAUUGAGAAAGCUUAUUUGUUGCUCUAGCUGUCUUUAUGGCGUCUUGUUGACUUCUGUCGGUAAGG
This is a long non-coding RNA of Etheostoma cragini (Arkansas darter), 129 nucleotides long. RefSeq lists it as uncharacterized. The record is from RefSeq and is a predicted model, not a curated record. The transcript has 3 exons. Lineage: Eukaryota; Metazoa; Chordata; Actinopteri; Perciformes; Percidae.